GACGAACGCUGGCGGCGUGCCUAAUACAUGCAAGUCGAGCGAGCGGAACUAACAGAUUUACUUCGGUCAUGACGGUAGGACAGCGAGCGGCGGAGUGGUGAGUAACACGUGGGGAACCUGCCACAUAGGCGGGGAUACCACUAGGAAACAGGAGCAAAUACCGGCUAAGAAAGCAGAUCGCAUGAUCAGCUUUUAAAAGGCGGCGUAAGCUGUCGCCAUGGGAUGGCCUCGCGGUGCAUUAGCCAGUUGGUAAGGUAAAGGCUUACCAAGGCGAUGAUGCAUAGCCGACUUGAGAGCGUGAUCGGCCACAUUGGAACUGAGACCCGGCCCAGACUCCUACGGGAGGCAGCAGUAGGGAAUCUUCCGCAAUGGGCGCAAGUCUGAUGGAGCAACGCCGCGUGAGUGAAGAAGGUUUUCGGAUCGUAAAGCUCUGUUGUUGGGGAAGAAGGAUAGAGGUAGUAACUGGCCAUUAUUUGACGGUAAGCAACCAGAAAGUCACGGCUAACUACGUG
Molecule: ribosomal RNA, 512 nt
Filed under: uncultured bacterium
Lineage: Bacteria
Description: partial 16S ribosomal RNA
Rfam family: Bacterial small subunit ribosomal RNA
Source: RNAcentral